GUAGUCUCGCACAGAUGCAUAUCAAUAAGCGGAGGAAAAGAAACUAACAAGGAUUCCCCUAGUAACGGCGAGUGAAGCGGGAAGAGCUCAAAUUUGAAAGUCUUAAAGGGUUUCCCUUUACGAAUUGUAGUUUAAAGAAGUGUUUUCUGUUGAGGUUUUGGUAAAAGUUCUUCGGAAUAGGACAUCAUAGAGGGUGAGAAUCCCGUAUUUGACCUUUACUUUCAACUUUGUGAUACACUUUCAAAGAGUCGGAUUGUUUGGGAAUGCAGUCCAAAAUGGGUGGUAAAUUUCAUCUAAAGCUAAAUAUUGGCGAGAGACCGAUAGCGAACAAGUACCGUGAGGGAAAGAUGAAAAGAACUUUGAAAAGAGAGUUAAACAGUACGUGAAAUUGUCAAAAGGGAAGCGUUUGACACCAGUGUUGUUUUUCUGAAAAUCAAUUAAAGAACUGUUUAUGCUAAGCUGUUUAGACUUUAUCAGCUAACUGUUUAGUUUUUGAGCUUUUCUUUAAUGCACUUUUCAGUUAACAAGUCAACAUCAAUUUCUUUUGCUGUAGAAAAGCUUGAGGAAGGUGGCUUGAGAUUCGUCUUAAGUGUUUAUAGCCUCUUGCCUAUGCAGUCGGAGAGAUUGAGGUCUGCAGCGUAGAUCCUUCGGGGCUAAAUGCAUUUGUGCUAAGUUAUAAGCAUUUUAUAGACAACUUGUUGACUAUGAUUUGUCUUGUAGCUUACUCGCUUAUGUUAUUUUACCUACGCUUAGGAUGUUGAUCUGUAGUGCGUGCGC
Molecule: ribosomal RNA, 777 nt
Filed under: uncultured Neocallimastigales
Lineage: Eukaryota; Fungi; Neocallimastigomycota; Neocallimastigomycetes; Neocallimastigales
Description: partial large subunit ribosomal RNA
Rfam family: Eukaryotic large subunit ribosomal RNA
Source: RNAcentral